This 570-nucleotide ribosomal RNA is filed under the name uncultured Bacteroidota bacterium. RNAcentral describes it as "bacterial SSU rRNA". It matches the Rfam family "Bacterial small subunit ribosomal RNA", at positions 77 to 645 of the family's 1533-position model. The record is from RNAcentral. Lineage: Bacteria; Pseudomonadati; Bacteroidota.
AGCUUGCUCUUGAUGACGAGUGGCGCACGGGUGAGUAACGCGUAUGCAAUCUACCUAUAACUGAGGAAUAGCCCAGAGAAAUUUGGAUUAAUACUUCAUAAUAUUAUUAUUUGGCAUCAUUUAAUAAUUAAAACUCCGGUGGUUAUAGAUGAGCAUGCGUUCUAUUAGCUAGUUGGUGAGGUAAGAGCUCACCAAGGCUACGAUAGAUAGGGGGCCUGAAAGGGUGAUCCCCCACACUGGUACUGAGACACGGACCAGACUCCUACGGGAGGCAGCAGUGAGGAAUAUUGCACAAUGGAGGAAACUCUGAUGCAGCCAUGCCGCGUGCAGGAUGAAGGCCCUAUGGGUUGUAAACUGCUUUUUACAAGAAGAAACCUUGGUACGUGUACCAACUUGACGGUAUUGUAAGAAUAAGCACCGGCUAACUCCGUGCCAGCAGCCGCGGUAAUACGGAGGGUGCAAGCGUUAUCCGGAUUUAUUAGGUUUAAAGGGUUCGCAGGCGGAAUUUUAAGUCAGUGGUGAAAGCCUACAGCUCAACUGUAGAACUGCCAUUGAAACUGAUAUUCUUGA